UAGGGAAUCUUCCACAAUGGACGCAAGUCUGAUGGAGCAACGCCGCGUGAGUGAAGAAGGUUUUCGGACCGUAAAGCUCUGUUGUUGGUGAAGAAGGAUAGAGGUAGUAACUGGCCUUUAUUUGACGGUAAUCAACCAGAAAGUCACGGCUAACUACGUGCCAGCAGCCGCGGUAAUACGUAGGUGGCAAGCGUUGUCCGGAUUUAUUGGGCGUAAAGCGAGCGCAGGCGGAAGAAUAAGUCUGAUGUGAAAGCCCUCGGCUUAACCGAGGAAUUGCAUCGGAAACUGUUUUUCUUGAGUA
RNAcentral lists this ribosomal RNA (301 nucleotides) under uncultured bacterium. RNAcentral describes it as "partial 16S ribosomal RNA". It matches the Rfam family "Bacterial small subunit ribosomal RNA", at positions 355 to 648 of the family's 1533-position model. The record is from RNAcentral.